UCCGUAGGCGGGUCAUUAAGUCAGAGGUGAAAUCCCACAGCUUAACUGUGGAACUGCCUUAGAUACUGGUGAUCUUGAGUUUUAGUGAAGUAGAUAGAAUGUGUAGUGUAGCGGUGAAAUGCAUAGAUAUUACACAGAAUACCGAUUGCGAAGGCAGUCUACUAACUAACAACUGACGCUAAUGGACGAAAGCGUGGGGAGCGAACAGGAUUAGAUACCCUGGUAGUCC
RNAcentral lists this ribosomal RNA (229 nucleotides) under uncultured bacterium. RNAcentral's name for it is "partial 16S ribosomal RNA". It matches the Rfam family "Bacterial small subunit ribosomal RNA", at positions 568 to 796 of the family's 1533-position model. The record is from RNAcentral.